This 332-nucleotide unclassified non-coding RNA is filed under the name soil metagenome. Its description in RNAcentral is "partial contains 5.8S ribosomal RNA, internal transcribed spacer 2, and large subunit ribosomal RNA". The stretch from base 1 to 120 matches the Rfam family "5.8S ribosomal RNA", at positions 35 to 154 of the family's 154-position model. The record is from RNAcentral.
GAUGAAGAACGCAGCGAAAUGCGAUAAGUAAUGCGAAUUGCAGAAUUCAGUGAAUCAUCGAAUCUUUGAACGCACAUUGCGCCCGCCAGUAUUCUGGCGGGCAUGCCUGUUCGAGCGUCAUUUAAACCUUCAAGCUAAGCUUGGUGUUGGGUGACUGUCCGCUUCACUGCGGACUCGCCUCAAAAUUAUUGGCGGCCGGUACAUUGGCUUCGAGCGCAGCAGAAACGCGAACUCGGGCCCGUCGUAUUGGCUCCCAGAAGCUAUCUUCACAAUUUUGACCUCGGAUCAGGUAGGGAUACCCGCUGAACUUAAGCAUAUCAAUAAGCGGAGGA